Molecule: transfer RNA, 59 nt
Filed under: Clavisyllis tenjini
Lineage: Eukaryota; Metazoa; Annelida; Polychaeta; Phyllodocida; Syllidae
Description: tRNA-Lys
Source: RNAcentral
CAUUAGAAAGCUUAAAGCAAUGGCCUUUUAAUCCAUAGAUGAUUUUAUAUCUCCAAUGA